This 288-nucleotide long non-coding RNA is filed under the name Zonotrichia albicollis (white-throated sparrow). RNAcentral describes it as "lncRNA (ENSZALG00000008674.1)". Lineage: Eukaryota; Metazoa; Chordata; Aves; Passeriformes; Passerellidae. The record is from RNAcentral.
ACAGUCUCAUGGUCCAAUUCAUAGAUCAUAGGGUGGAAGCUUAGCUGCCCAGGGGGACUAAAUGCUGGACUGUUCCCCUAUGAAGAAUCCAGCUGGAAGAAGAACUCAGGUUUCAGUGGGACCUCAGGUGGUGCCAAGCAGCAGCAGCAGCCAAGGAUAAGCUUAGAGCGGAGGUAUGAGGAUGAGAUACAGACUCCUGCUUCACCCAGGUCAGCAAAGCUGCUUAGUCUGCUCUACUGUGAGGGACAGCACCUUGGCAAGGAAAACAUCAGCUUCUCAUACAUAGAC